Molecule: unclassified non-coding RNA, 585 nt
Filed under: Hevea brasiliensis (rubber tree)
Lineage: Eukaryota; Viridiplantae; Streptophyta; Magnoliopsida; Malpighiales; Euphorbiaceae
Source: RNAcentral
AUAAGUUAUCAAAAGUAGAAAUACUAUAAAAAAAUAAAGCUUAAUAAGUUAUCGAUAGUUGUUUGAGAACUUAAAGAAGAAAUUCAAAUUGUAAAUCAAGGAAAGAAGCUUGAUGUUGAAGAUGAACAAGAAAAAGAUUUCGAAGAGCAGCUUGAAGAUGAAAAUGAGGAACAUAAAGAGCAACUUGGAGACAUUAAGCUUGAAGAGUAUGAGAUUGAAGAAUUUGAAGAUUUGAGUCUUGAACAUUUACAUGUUGAAGAGCCUAUUCCAGAGCAAGAAGUUGAUAAAACUCCAAAAGCAAAGCUAGAGGAAGUUAUAUUUGGGAAUGAAGAAGAUGCUAUGGAGACAUCAAUGAAAAUUGAUGAUUCUGUUGAGAUAAAGGACAUUUCAACUAUUGUUCUAAUUGAUAUUAUCUAUAUGGAUGUUUCUAAGAAUACAAAAGAGAGUGCAAAACUGCAAACUUCUUCAAGUCAAUCUUGCUGCUACCAUACAUGAAGAUAGUAUUGUGUGUUCUCCGCAUUUGAUUUGUGAACCUUUAGCACUUCAAGACUCGAGGACAAGUUUUCUCCAACCAGGGGAGAAUAA